This 1436-nucleotide ribosomal RNA is filed under the name uncultured bacterium. RNAcentral's name for it is "bacterial SSU rRNA". It matches the Rfam family "Bacterial small subunit ribosomal RNA". The record is from RNAcentral.
UAUUUACAGGCUUAACACAUGCAAGUCGAGGGGCAGCAUGGUCUUAGCUUGCUAAGGCCGAUGGCGACCGGCGCACGGGUGAGUAACACGUAUCCAACCUGCCGUCUACUCUUGGACAGCCUUCUGAAAGGAAGAUUAAUACAAGAUGGCAUCAUGAGUCCGCAUGUUCACAUGAUUAAAGGUAUUCCGGUAGACGAUGGGGAUGCGUUCCAUUAGAUAGUAGGCGGGGUAACGGCCCACCUAGUCUUCGAUGGAUAGGGGUUCUGAGAGGAAGGUCCCCCACAUUGGAACUGAGACACGGUCCAAACUCCUACGGGAGGCAGCAGUGAGGAAUAUUGGUCAAUGGGCGAGAGCCUGAACCAGCCAAGUAGCGUGAAGGAUGACUGCCCUAUGGGUUGUAAACUUCUUUUAUAAAGGAAUAAAGUCGGGUAUGGAUACCCGUUUGCAUGUACUUUAUGAAUAAGGAUCGGCUAACUCCGUGCCAGCAGCCGCGGUAAUACGGAGGAUCCGAGCGUUAUCCGGAUUUAUUGGGUUUAAAGGGAGCGUAGAUGGAUGUUUAAGUCAGUUGUGAAAGUUUGCGGCUCAACCGUAAAAUUGCAGUUGAUACUGGAUAUCUUGAGUGCAGUUGAGGCAGGCGGAAUUCGUGGUGUAGCGGUGAAAUGCUUAGAUAUCACGAAGAACUCCGAUUGCGGAGGCAGCCUGCUAAGCUGCAACUGACAUUGAGGCUCGAAAGUGUGGGUAUCAAACAGGAUUAGAUACCCUGGUAGUCCACACGGUAAACGAUGAAUACUCGCUGUUUGCGAUAUACUGCAAGCGGCCAAGCGAAAGCGUUAAGUAUUCCACCUGGGGAGUACGCCGGCAACGGUGAAACUCAAAGGAAUUGACGGGGGCCCGCACAAGCGGAGGAACAUGUGGUUUAAUUCGAUGAUACGCGAGGAACCUUACCCGGGCUUAAAUUGCAGAUGAAUUACGGUGAAAGCCGUAAGCCGCAAGGCAUCUGUGAAGGUGCUGCAUGGUUGUCGUCAGCUCGUGCCGUGAGGUGUCGGCUUAAGUGCCAUAACGAGCGCAACCCUUGUUGUCAGUUACUAACAGGUUCCGCUGAGGACUCUGACAAGACUGCCAUCGUAAGAUGUGAGGAAGGUGGGGAUGACGUCAAAUCAGCACGGCCCUUACGUCCGGGGCUACACACGUGUUACAAUGGGGGGUACAGAGGGCCGCUACCACGCGAGUGGAUGCCAAUCCCCAAAACCUCUCUCAGUUCGGACUGGAGUCUGCAACCCGACUCCACGAAGCUGGAUUCGCUAGUAAUCGCGCAUCAGCCACGGCGCGGUGAAUACGUUCCCGGGCCUUGUACACACCGCCCGUCAAGCCAUGGGAGCCGGGGGUACCUGAAGUGCGUAACCGCGAGGAGCGCCCUAGGGUAAAACUGGUGACUG